RNAcentral lists this ribosomal RNA (501 nucleotides) under uncultured Glomus. Its description in RNAcentral is "SSU rRNA". It matches the Rfam family "Eukaryotic small subunit ribosomal RNA", at positions 569 to 1077 of the family's 1831-position model. Lineage: Eukaryota; Fungi; Glomeromycota; Glomeromycetes; Glomerales; Glomeraceae. The record is from RNAcentral.
AGCAGCCGCGGUAAUUCCAGCUCCAAUAGCGUAUAUUAAAGUUGUUGCAGUUAAAAAGCUCGUAGUUGAAUUUCGGGAUUAGUACGCUGGUCGUGCCUUCGGUAUGUACUGGUGUUACUGGUUCCUACCUUCUGAAGAACCGUCAUGUCAUUAAUUUGGUGUGGCGGGGAAUCAGGACUGUUACUUUGAAAAAUUAGAGUGUUUAAAGCAGGCUCGCGCUUGAAUACAUUAGCAUGGAAUAAUGAAAUAGGACGUUCGAUCCUAUUUUGUUGGUUUCUAGGAUUGACGUAAUGAUUAAUAGGGAUAGUUGGGGGCAUUAGUAUUCAAUUGUCAGAGGUGAAAUUCUUGGAUUUAUUGAAGACUAACUACUGCGAAAGCAUUUGCCAAGGAUGUUUCAUUAAUCAAGAACGAAAGUUAGGGAUCGAAGACGAUCAGAUACCGUCGUGGUCUUAACCAUAAACUAUGCCGACUAGGAUCGGAUGAUGUUAUUUUAAUGUACUC